AAGACGUUCAAUUGUUCUCUGAAGAAUUGGUUUUUAAUUUAAAUGAGUAGUUAUUGUUGCCAACUGAAUUAGAAAUUUGAAUUGGGAUUAUUUUUGGAAUAAGUGAUUAGGGAAGGUGAAAACAAUGGGGAGGGUUUAGGGGUAAAAUUUGUCUCAUUUCAGAUUUCAGAAAUAAUUUGUUUUGUUUUGAGGGGAUUUAUAUUCAACAGCAAAGUGAAUUGCUCAAAAGCAAAAAAAAAAAUUGUACAUUAAUGCUGUUCAGGGUUCAACCUCUGUAGUCGUAUAAAGCUGUGCCCUGCGGAGCAUCUGGUUUUUAUUGAUAGGAUGUGUAAAUUUAAAAAUUGAAUUCUUGAAAUUCUUGAUAACCUGAAUCUAAACAUGUAUUUAGAUUUUUGAUUAUGGGCCCAGUUUUCAAGUUGGUCCAAAUCGGGGUCCAAAAUUAAACUUUCCUUGAUUUCAACAAAAAUUAAAUAUAAGGUGUUCCUUGAUAUGCUGAAUCUUACCAUGUAUUUAGAUUUUUGAUUUUUGGGCCCCAUUAUCAAAUUGGUCCACAUUGAGGUCAAAAGGGUCCAAAAUCAAACUUUUGUUUGAUUUCAUUAAAAAUUGAAUUCUUGUGGUUCUUUGAUAUGCCGAAUCUUACCACGCAUUUAGAUUUUGGAUAUUGGACCAUAAUAGGUAAAUUAAUCUUUUUUAAGUUUUUAGACCACAUUCAUUCUGUGUCAGAAACCUCUGCUGUGUCAAAUAGUUAAUCACAAUCCAAAUUCAGAGCUGUAUCAAGCUUGAAUGUUGUGUCCAUACUUGCCCCAACUGUUCAGGGUUCGACCUCUACGGUUGUAUUAAGCUGCGUUCUUUGGAGCAGUUUAUUAACUUUUAAAAUAAAUGUGUAAACAGUAAGAUGUUGACUGGAACAGUAUCCGAAUUGGAUAUGUCAUAUAAUCUUGAAUGUUAGAAUGAUUAAUUAUUAAACUCUAAACAUUAUAAGAGUUGAUGAGGUUCUUGUUGAGAAUUACAUUAAUGUGCUGUAAGGUAAAAAAAGUUUUAAAGUUUUUAACUUUAACUAAAAAAUGUGAAGCAUGUGAAAAAGAGGCGAAGGAUACCUAAGGGACAUUCAAACUCAUAAGUCGAAAAUACACCGAAAACGCCAUGGCUAAAAAGAAAAAGACAAACAAACUACAUUACACAAAACACAACAUAAAAAACCAAAGAGUGAGCAACACGAACCCCACCAAUCCUACUACCACAUGUGGCACCCAUGGUGUUGCUCAUGUUACUAGUACAAAUCCGGUGAUAAGUCUAAUUUGGUAUGUCACAUUCGGGGUAAAGGGGACGGGAUUGUAGUUACGACAAUUAGAACAUAUCCGUUGUCAUCUGUGAAAUGGAUAUUCCAUAACGUUCAACCAUCUCGUGUUGGGGUCCGUUAAAUUUACGAAGGGACAAUUUCAACUUCACCACUUGGAACGCUUUGUUUAAUAGCUUUCGGGAAUCAUAUAUUACAAAGAUGCAAUCCCAAAAUAGUUACUCGAAGUAGAAAUUUCACUGGUCCCCAUCGCACAGCAGUCAACUUGAGAAAUCUCAAAUUUGCUAACUCAACCAUACUCCGUACAAAGGUACUGGGUGACUAUCUUACAUUAGUUUAUUUACGACUUCUGAGUUUGAAUGUCCCUCUGGUAUCUUUCGUCUCUCUUUUUCUCAUAUGUCACAGAGCACCUAACACAAAACCAACAUGCUGAUGUUUACUGCGGC
RNAcentral lists this long non-coding RNA (1743 nucleotides) under Mytilus galloprovincialis (Mediterranean mussel). The record is from RNAcentral. Lineage: Eukaryota; Metazoa; Mollusca; Bivalvia; Mytilida; Mytilidae.